UUACGGUCAAAUCACGCUGAAACACCGGUUCUCGUACGAUCACCGAAGUUAAGCAUCAUAGAGCCAGGUCAGUACUUAGAUGGGGGACCGCUUGGGAACACCUGGUACUGUAAG
RNAcentral lists this ribosomal RNA (114 nucleotides) under Acanthosepion pharaonis. The record is from RNAcentral. Lineage: Eukaryota; Metazoa; Mollusca; Cephalopoda; Sepiida; Sepiidae.